GCAGUCGAGCGGGGAAGGUAGCUUGCUACUGGACCUAGCGGCGGACGGGUGAGUAAUGCUUAGGAAUCUGCCUAUUAGUGGGGGACAACAUCUCGAAAGGGAUGCUAAUACCGCAUACGUCCUACGGGAGAAAGCAGGGGAUCUUCGGACCUUGCGCUAAUAGAUGAGCCUAAGUCGGAUUAGCUAGUUGGUGGGGUAAAGGCCUACCAAGGCGACGAUCUGUAGCGGGUCUGAGAGGAUGAUCCGCCACACUGGGACUGAGACACGGCCCAGACUCCUACGGGAGGCAGCAGUGGGGAAUAUUGGACAAUGGGCGCAAGCCUGAUCCAGCCAUGCCGCGUGUGUGAAGAAGGCCUUAUGGUUGUAAAGCACUUUAAGCGAGGAGGAGGCUACUUUAGAUAAUACCUAGAGAUAGUGGACGUUACUCGCAGAAUAAGCACCGGCUAACUCUGUGCCAGCAGCCGCGGUAAUACAGAGGGUGCAAGCGUUAAUCGGAUUUACUGGGCGUAAAGCGCGCGUAGGCGGCUAAUUAAGUCAAAUGUGAAAUCCCCGAGCUUAACUUGGGAAUUGCAUUCGAUACUGGUUAGCUAGAGUGUGGGAGAGGAUGGUAGAAUUCCAGGUGUAGCGGUGAAAUGCGUAGAGAUCUGGAGGAAUACCGAUGGCGAAGGCAGCCAUCUGGCCUAACACUGACGCUGAGGUGCGAAAGCAUGGGGAGCAAACAGGAUUAGAUACCCUGGUAGUCCAUGCCGUAAACGAUGUCUACUAGCCGUUGGGGCCUUUGAGGCUUUAGUGGCGCAGCU
RNAcentral lists this ribosomal RNA (800 nucleotides) under Acinetobacter nosocomialis. RNAcentral's name for it is "bacterial SSU rRNA". It matches the Rfam family "Bacterial small subunit ribosomal RNA", at positions 57 to 853 of the family's 1533-position model. The record is from RNAcentral. Lineage: Bacteria; Pseudomonadati; Pseudomonadota; Gammaproteobacteria; Moraxellales; Moraxellaceae.